UCAGUUUGAGCAGUGAUAGUGUGAACAUUAAAAGAACCGGAAAACCUAACUAUAAAAAUGCCGAAUCAAAAUGAAAAUAAUAAUUUGAGAAAUGCUUUGAUAAUUGCGGCUGUUAUUUCUGGUGUUGCAUUGAUUGGUGCUAUUCUGUUACAAAAUCACUUGAACAACAGUGAAGCUGUUAUUGAACUACCUGAUGAGUUUGAAGAGUUCCAAGGGAACAACCGUUCUGAUUCAGAUCGGCGGUUAGUAGUUGGACUCUCACCAUUUCCAUGUGGAAAUUUUGUACCACCAGCAGAGGGAAAUUGUGUGCCACCAAUCGGUUUUGUUGAAACCGGCGAAGAAUGCAUCUUUUGCACCAUAAGAUUCGAUGGAUGUGAGCCAAUAUCGGUUCUUCAAUGUAAUCACCGAUUUCAUAGACGAUGUCUACAGUACUCAAUGCAUUGCAGUGAUGGAAACAGAAAUCAAUGUCCUCUUUGCAGAGCUGCCAUCCAAUUCAAAAACG
Long non-coding RNA from Contarinia nasturtii (swede midge), 502 nucleotides. RefSeq lists it as uncharacterized. NCBI's taxonomy places the organism in Eukaryota, Metazoa, Arthropoda, Insecta, Diptera, Cecidomyiidae. The transcript has 3 exons. The record is from RefSeq and is a predicted model, not a curated record.